ACAGACUGUGUCCAGGGUGAGAAGGGUCAGCUGUGAUCCGAGCUGCACGCCCCAGUGUCCUGGAGGUGUACAGGUCCUGCAGAGAUGGGAGUUUGCAGCCAAUCACCUUCUCAGCAGAGCGCACAAGGAGUAGUGCAGUCCUUAUCCCAGCUAUCUAUAACAUCCUCUUGCUCCCUUGGGGACAGUUUCGGUUCCCAGUCAUCAUGGGAAAAACUUUCAGCUGAUCUGAAUUCUUCCACAUACAGGAACCCACAACCAAGUAGUAUUUCCAAAGUAGGAACUUGCCAAAACAGCGAUUCACCAGAUUCAGAUGGGAGCUCCUUCAUUUGUGAAACGGUCGAUUUUGAAACAAAUGAUUCCCCUUCUGAUCACAUAAACAGUAAAGAGUAAAAAACAGAAAAUAUGUGCUUUAUCAAACCACAACUGAUCAAAAGCCCCAAAGUUUACCAAAAUGUGGAAACUGAAGUACAACCUGCAACAAACAGCACUUUAGCAAUGCAAAAUAAUCCAUCUCAAGCUGUCACAGAACCGUUACCUGUCACUGAAACCUCUACAAAGAGUUCGUUUGGAGUCCUGGAGGUGAACCAGAGUUGUUGUCAACAAACUGCAGUGCAGAAUGUGCCCCAGAAGAAGAACUCCAUGUGCUACAGCUGCCUAGACCCAAGCACUGUAGCUGAUGCUGUUCCUAUGAAACCAUUCUUGUUGUCACAACGGGAUUACCAAGCUCUUCUGGCUGGCAUUUGCAAUGAUUGUCUGCUGAAGAGGUUGCACAAUGAUGAGAAAAAAUUCAAGUUGGAGCAGUACAAAAGUGCCCACAGAUGGGUGACAGCCAGCGGCAAAGGACUGACCUACCUCACUGACCCACAGAUUCACUCCACCAGGAUCCCUAAGGGUCCUUCUAACUUUGCUGCCAGAGGGCUCAGUUUGUUCCUGAAAUAUCAACAUGGACCUGAGUGCAAUCAGAUUUGCCACCUCCUCAAACUACCUCCACUGGACCCAAACUCAAACGUUUCUCCUCAAAAACUUUGAGACGUUGGACACUAUUUAUUGCUAUCCACAAAAAAUUAAAAAUUAAUUAAGGGGCUUGUUUUGGCAAUUUUUUGGAACUGACUUUCAUACUGUUUUCCUUUUUUUAAAAUGUACCGAUAAAUGCAUUUUGCACACACAAAUCGUAAUCUUCAGAAAUAAGGAUUUAAACACUGUUGUGCAGUUGUCGUUUGUUUUAAUCGUUCAUAUUGCUAUUACCUUUUCUUGGAAUACUAGAAGUGUAACAAAUUUACAAAGAGCUUUUGGGUGCUACAUUUAGUUACAAGAGAUAAGAGAUCAUUCUUUCAUAAGAGAAUGAUCUGAAAAGAUAAAUGCAACAAAAUUAUUUAUGUUGUUUCAUUACUUUUAGCACAUUAUCAAACAGUUAACAUCUUAGGCUCUUUUUGUCAGGUGGUCAAAAAUCUCACAGCUGACAGGAUUUUUUGUUAUUGUACCUUUUUUUUUUAUUGGAAGUCACAAAAAACAUGUGACUGCAGUCACAAGGAAACAUGAAUCGAUAAGAGAAAAAAUAUUUUUGAAAAGAUGUUAUCCAUCACUGUCUCCUCUCUAUGAGUGGAUUGCUGCCUAACUGGAAAGAGAGUUUCCAGUGAAUCACCUGAUGCUGUUUGAAGUCGUUUUGAAUGCUAUUAUGGAAGAUUUUAAGUAGUCUGUCCUUUUAGUGGGAUAUAAAAACAUGUCAUGUUAGCUGUUAAGCUUAUUUGCAAAAGUGGUUAGCACUGUCGGCUCAUAGCAAGAAGAGUCCUGGGUUCGGAUCCAGUCUGGGGCCUUUAUGUGUGGCGCUGUCCCCCAAUCCACUCCUUUUGGACUGAAAAAUGAUCCAAUAUCCCGGGCUGUAAAAUCCCUCUAUCACUGUGCUUGCUCGGUAAUGUUGCACAACUUGACAAAAUGUCUCAUAAUGCACAUCCGCAUAACCACACAAUGCGUUCAUGCACAUAUGACUCCCACACAAUUCUAAUGACAUAUAAAAUAUGCAAAUAUGCGCAACUGUUGUAUUGUCUUCUUUUCUUGUUUGUAUCACUGCACAUUUUGUCCUUUUGUAACAAUAUAGAUAAAAAAUUAAUGAACUUUGA
Oreochromis aureus is the source of this 2117-nucleotide long non-coding RNA. RefSeq lists it as uncharacterized. The record is from RefSeq and is a predicted model, not a curated record. The transcript is spliced from 2 exons. Lineage: Eukaryota; Metazoa; Chordata; Actinopteri; Cichliformes; Cichlidae.